GUAAUUAUAGUUCAAACAGAACAUUAGAUUGUGAAUCUAAAGACAGAAGUGAAAAUCCUCUUACUUACC
This is a non-coding RNA of Procavia capensis (Cape rock hyrax), 69 nucleotides long. Lineage: Eukaryota; Metazoa; Chordata; Mammalia; Hyracoidea; Procaviidae. The record is from Ensembl.